GAUGAACGCUGGCGGCGUGCCUAACACAUGCAAGUCGAGCGGGGUCUAGGAAACGCUUGCGUUUCCUAGACUUAGCGGCGGACGGGUGAAUAACGCGUGGGUAACCUGCCUUACACACAGGGAUAACAAUGAGAAAUCAUUGCUAAAACCUGAUAAGCUCACGCUGGGGCAUCCCAAAGUGAGAAAAUAUUUAUAGGUGUAAGAGGGGCCCGCGGCUGAUUAGCUAGUUGGAAGGGUAACGGCCUACCAAGGCGCCGAUCAGUAGCCGCCCUGAGAGGGUGACCGGCCACAUUGGGACUGAGACACGGCCCAAACUCCUCCGGGAGGCAGCAGUGGGGAAUAUUGCACAAUGGGCGCAAGCCUGAUGCAGCAACGCCGCGUGAAGGAUGAAGGGUUUCGGCUCGUAAACUUCUUUAGGCAGGGAAGAAAACAAUGACGGUACCUGCAGAAUAAGCCCCGGCUAACUACGUGCCAGCCGCCGCCGUAACAC
Molecule: ribosomal RNA, 490 nt
Filed under: uncultured bacterium
Lineage: Bacteria
Description: bacterial SSU rRNA
Rfam family: Bacterial small subunit ribosomal RNA
Source: RNAcentral